Molecule: ribosomal RNA, 387 nt
Filed under: uncultured bacterium
Lineage: Bacteria
Description: bacterial SSU rRNA
Rfam family: Bacterial small subunit ribosomal RNA
Source: RNAcentral
ACUGAACGCUGGCGGAAUGCUUUACACAUGCAAGUCGAGCGGCAGCGCGGGGGCAACCCUGGCGGCGAGCGGCGAACGGGUGAGUAACACAUCGGAACGUACCCAAUCGUGGGGGAUAACUAUCCGAAAGGAUAGCUAAUACCGCAUAAGUCCUGAGGGAGAAAGCGGGGGAUCGCAAGACCUCGCGCGGAUGGAGCGGCCGAUGGCGGAUUAGCUAGUUGGUGGGGUAAAGGCCUACCAAGGCGACGAUCCGUAGCUGGUCUGAGAGGACGACCAGCCACACUGGAACUGAGACACGGUCCAGACUCCUACGGGAGGCAGCAGUGGGGAAUUUUGGACAAUGGGCGCAAGCCUGAUCCAGCCAUUCCGCGUGAGUGAAGAAGGCCU